Molecule: non-coding RNA, 887 nt
Organism: Camelina sativa (false flax)
Lineage: Eukaryota; Viridiplantae; Streptophyta; Magnoliopsida; Brassicales; Brassicaceae
Source: RefSeq, a predicted model, not a curated record
UUUUUCAAUCCUAAAUGUGUUAGGUUAUCCCAACGCAGGAUUCUAACACAGGUUUUAGUGGAGAAGAAAAAAAAAUUAGAUUAAACAAAAAAAUGUAAAAGAGACUCUAAUAUUGCAUACUCGAUUAUGGUUUAAGAGCUUGUACAUGUCGAAUGUUCGUUGGCUGGACAAAAAAAUAGAAGAACCAAAAAAACUUUUGUUUCUCCGACCAAAAAAAAAACAUUUCUCUCUCUCGAUCUCUUUCUCUCUCAAUCUCUCUCUUGGUGUUUCUCUCUCCAAGUACAAGGAUUAUAGAAAGACAGAAAAAAAUCUCUUUGAUCCGUCGUCUAGGAUUUAAAUUUGUAUUAGAGGCUUUGAAUUGAUCGAUCAGUAAUCAGGCUUUUUGAUUGAUCCUUGUCGUCAAGCUUUUGAUGAAUAAGGGUUUAUUAAUUGAUCUGUACUUAUGUGUGCGUGUGUGUUUUUCAGGAGGAAUUGAAGGAAUGGGAUCUGUAGUGUCUCUUGCUGCUUGGUGAUGCUAAUGUAAAGAUGACCGAGAGAUUACUUUGGUCCGACAUCAGUAUCCGACAGAUGAGAAGCCUUGAAGCCAUGCCUACCAAGCGAUUUCGACAAUCUGUUUAUGUUCUGCUCUUCUCAUGAACCUUGUGAUCUCAUGUCGGCACAAGAGAACGAAACUGGUAUGUGGUUCUGCACAAGAGAAUGAAACAUAAGUCUUUGUGUUUUUCCUUCCCGUGUACACAUUUUGUGUUUUUCCUUCCCAUGAACACAUUUUGUGUUUUUCUUUCCACAAUUAUUGUUCAAUAAACUUGUAUAUAUAGCAAACUAGAAUCAGCUACUCUUGAUUGUAAGCACUCUUAUAUUCAAUCUGCUUCAUUUUCAAGUUUCAAAUA